AACGAACGCUGGCGGCGGGCCUAACACAUGCAAGUCGAACGCUGUAGCAAUACAGAGUGGCAGACGGGUGAGUAACGCGUGGGAACCUUCCCAAUGGUACGGAAUAGCCCAGGGAAACUUGGGGUAAUACCGUACACGCCCCUAGGAGGAAAGAUUUAUCGCCAUUGGAUGGGCCCGCGUCGGACUAGCUAGUUGGUGAGGUAAUGGCUCACCAAGGCAACGAUCCGUAGCUGGUUCGAGAGAAUGACCAGCCACACUGGGACUGAGACACGGCCCAGACUCCUACGGGAGGCAGCAGUGGGGAAUCUUGGACAAUGGGCGCAAGCCUGAUCCAGCCAUGCCGCGUGAGUGACGAAGGCCUUAGGGUUGUAAAGCUCUUUUGCCGGGGACGAUAAUGACGGUACCCGGAGAAUAAGUCCCGGCUAACUUCGUGCCAGCCGCCGCAGUAA
This 449-nucleotide ribosomal RNA is filed under the name uncultured bacterium. RNAcentral describes it as "partial 16S ribosomal RNA". It matches the Rfam family "Bacterial small subunit ribosomal RNA", at positions 29 to 523 of the family's 1533-position model. The record is from RNAcentral.